RNAcentral lists this ribosomal RNA (1471 nucleotides) under metagenome. RNAcentral's name for it is "bacterial SSU rRNA". It matches the Rfam family "Bacterial small subunit ribosomal RNA". The record is from RNAcentral.
AGAGUUUGAUCCUGGCUCAGGAUGAACGCUAGCGGCAGGCUUAACACAUGCAAGUCGAGGGGUAUAAUUCCUCGGAAUUAGAGACCGGCGCACGGGUGCGUAACGCGUAUGCAAUCUACCUUUUACAGCGGGAUAGCCCAGAGAAAUUUGGAUUAAUACCUCAUAGCAUAGCAGCUUCGCAUGAAGCCGCUAUUAAAGUCACAACGGUAAAAGAUGAGCAUGCGUCCCAUUAGCUAGUUGGUAAGGUAACGGCUUACCAAGGCUACGAUGGGUAGGGGUCCUGAGAGGGAGAUCCCCCACACUGGUACUGAGACACGGACCAGACUCCUACGGGAGGCAGCAGUGAGGAAUAUUGGACAAUGGGCGCAAGCCUGAUCCAGCCAUGCCGCGUGCAGGAUGACGGUCCUAUGGAUUGUAAACUGCUUUUAUACGAGAAGAAACACUCCAACGUGUUGGAGCUUGACGGUAUCGUAGGAAUAAGGAUCGGCUAACUCCGUGCCAGCAGCCGCGGUAAUACGGAGGAUCCAAGCGUUAUCCGGAAUCAUUGGGUUUAAAGGGUCCGUAGGCGGUUUAAUAAGUCAGUGGUGAAAGCCCAUCGCUCAACGGUGGAACGGCCAUUGAUACUGUUAAACUUGAAUUAUUAGGAAGUAACUAGAAUAUGUAGUGUAGCGGUGAAAUGCUUAGAGAUUACAUGGAAUACCAAUUGCGAAGGCAGGUUACUACUAAUUGAUUGACGCUGAUGGACGAAAGCGUGGGUAGCGAACAGGAUUAGAUACCCUGGUAGUCCACGCCGUAAACGAUGGAUACUAGCUGUUGGGAGCAAUCUCAGUGGCUAAGCGAAAGUGAUAAGUAUCCCACCUGGGGAGUACGUUCGCAAGAAUGAAACUCAAAGGAAUUGACGGGGGCCCGCACAAGCGGUGGAGCAUGUGUUUAAUUCGAUGAUACGCGAGGAACCUUACCAAGGCUUAAAUGUAGAUUGACCGAUUUGGAAACAGAUCUUUCGCAAGACAAUUUACAAGGUGCUGCAUGGUUGUCGUCAGCUCGUGCCGUGAGGUGUCAGGUUAAGUCCUAUAACGAGCGCAACCCCUGUUGUUAGUUGCCAGCGAGUCAAGUCGGGAACUCUAACUAGACUGCCAGUGCAAACUGUGAGGAAGGUGGGGAUGACGUCAAAUCAUCACGGCCCUUACGCCUUGGGCUACACACGUGCUACAAUGGCCGGUACAGAGAGCAGCCACUGGGCGACCAGGAGCGAAUCUAUAAAACCGGUCACAGUUCGGAUCGGAGUCUGCAACUCGACUCCGUGAAGCUGGAAUCGCUAGUAAUCGGAUAUCAGCCAUGAUCCGGUGAAUACGUUCCCGGGCCUUGUACACACCGCCCGUCAAGCCAUGGAAGCUGGGGGUGCCUGAAGUCGGUGACCGCAAGGAGCUGCCUAGGGUAAAACUGGUAACUAGGGCUAAGUCGUAACAAGGUA